GUGCAAACUCGAUCACUGACUCUGCAUGAUGCUGCAGAAGUGAAGGGAACCAGGUUUGCUAAAGUAGUUGUGGUGAGAGAAAUGUAUCGGCCUCAGAAGCUACUGAGGUGGUCCAUUCUAUCCCAGUACAGUG
This is a small nucleolar RNA of Pteronotus mesoamericanus, 133 nucleotides long. The record is from RefSeq and is a predicted model, not a curated record. NCBI's taxonomy places the organism in Eukaryota, Metazoa, Chordata, Mammalia, Chiroptera, Mormoopidae.